UGCUGGGAGUCUUACUACACAU
RNAcentral lists this microRNA (22 nucleotides) under Gadus morhua (Atlantic cod). RNAcentral's name for it is "gmo-miR-11208-5p". Lineage: Eukaryota; Metazoa; Chordata; Actinopteri; Gadiformes; Gadidae. The record is from miRBase by way of RNAcentral.